RNAcentral lists this ribosomal RNA (376 nucleotides) under Staphylococcus aureus. Its description in RNAcentral is "partial 23S ribosomal RNA". It matches the Rfam family "Bacterial large subunit ribosomal RNA", at positions 551 to 929 of the family's 2925-position model. Lineage: Bacteria; Bacillati; Bacillota; Bacilli; Caryophanales; Staphylococcaceae. The record is from RNAcentral.
UGAAACCGUGUGCUUACAAGUAGUCAGAGCCCGUUAAUGGGUGAUGGCGUGCCUUUUGUAGAAUGAACCGGCGAGUUACGAUUUGAUGCAAGGUUAAGCAGUAAAUGUGGAGCCGUAGCGAAAGCGAGUCUGAAUAGGGCGUUUAGUAUUUGGUCGUAGACCCGAAACCAGGUGAUCUACCCUUGGUCAGGUUGAAGUUCAGGUAACACUGAAUGGAGGACCGAACCGACUUACGUUGAAAAGUGAGCGGAUGAACUGAGGGUAGCGGAGAAAUUCCAAUCGAACCUGGAGAUAGCUGGUUCUCUCCGAAAUAGCUUUAGGGCUAGCCUCAAGUGAUGAUUAUUGGAGGUAGAGCACUGUUUGGACGAGGGGCCCC